Molecule: ribosomal RNA, 460 nt
Filed under: uncultured bacterium
Lineage: Bacteria
Description: partial 16S ribosomal RNA
Rfam family: Bacterial small subunit ribosomal RNA
Source: RNAcentral
CCUACGGGUGGCAGCAGUGAGGAAUAUUGGUCAAUGGGCGAGAGCCUGAACCAGCCAAGUCGCGUGAAGGAUGAAGGAUCUAUGGUUUGUAAACUUCUUUUAUAUGGGAAUAAAGUGAGGAACGUGUUGCUUUUUGUAUGUACCAUAUGAAUAAGCAUCGGCUAACUCCGUGCCAGCAGCCGCGGUAAUACGGAGGAUGCGAGCGUUAUCCGGAUUUAUUGGGUUUAAAGGGUGCGUAGGUGGUUAGUUAAGUCAGUGGUGAAAGUUUGUGGCUCAACCGUAAAAUUGCAGUUGAAACUGGUAGUCUUGAGUAUAUUAGAGGUAGGCGGAAUGCGUGGUGUAGCGGUGAAAUGCUUAGAUAUCACGAAGAACUCCGAUUGCGAAGGCAGCUUACUAGACUGUAACUGACACUGAGGCUCGAAAGUGUGGGUAUCAAACAGGAUUAGAUACCCGAGUAGUC